RNAcentral lists this long non-coding RNA (271 nucleotides) under Amazona collaria (yellow-billed parrot). RNAcentral's name for it is "lncRNA (ENSACOG00000017270.1)". Lineage: Eukaryota; Metazoa; Chordata; Aves; Psittaciformes; Psittacidae. The record is from RNAcentral.
GUGAAAUCAAGCUGUCUGUCACAGCCGCCGUGGCCGACUGCAUUAUGGAUGCUGUGCUGGAAGAUCUGACUGCUGCCCAGUGCAAACUGGUGGAGAGCUUCCCCAAGCAGGGGCUCAACCUUCCGGCACUGCUGCCAGAGCUGGCUGAGGACGAUGCCGUGGCACUGGUGAGGGGCAGGAAUCCUCCUGACCCUGCUGCAGAGGAGUACAAGAUGGCCCUGCGGAGGAAAACCAAGCAUUUCAGGAGCAUCCGGCCCACGCCAAGUGUGAG